This 467-nucleotide ribosomal RNA is filed under the name uncultured bacterium. RNAcentral's name for it is "partial 16S ribosomal RNA". It matches the Rfam family "Bacterial small subunit ribosomal RNA", at positions 28 to 507 of the family's 1533-position model. The record is from RNAcentral.
GACGAACGCUGGCGGCGUGCUUAACACAUGCAAGUCGAACGGAAAGGCCUCUUUCGGGGGGUACUCGAGUGGCGAACGGGUGAGUAACACGUGAGUAACCUGCCCUUGACUUUGGGAUAACUUCAGGAAACUGGGGCUAAUACCGGAUAGGAGCUCCUGCUGCAUGGUGGGGGUUGGAAAGUUUCGGCGGUUGGGGAUGGACUCGCGGCUUAUCAGCUUGUUGGUGGGGUAGUGGCUUACCAAGGCUUUGACGGGUAGCCGGCCUGAGAGGGUGACCGGCCACAUUGGGACUGAGAUACGGCCCAGACUCCUACGGGAGGCAGCAGUGGGGAAUAUUGCACAAGGGGUGGAAGCCUGAUGCAGCAACGCCGUGUGCGGGAGGACGGCCUUCGGGUUGAAAACCGCUUUCGCUCAUGACGAAGCUUUGUGUGACGGUAGUGGGUAAAGAAGCACCGGCUAACUACGUG